RNAcentral lists this ribosomal RNA (253 nucleotides) under uncultured bacterium. RNAcentral's name for it is "partial 16S ribosomal RNA". It matches the Rfam family "Bacterial small subunit ribosomal RNA", at positions 524 to 776 of the family's 1533-position model. The record is from RNAcentral.
UACGGAGGGUGCGAGCGUUGUUCGGAAUCAUUGGGCGUAAAGCGUGCGUAGGCGGUAAGGUAUGUCUGAUGUGAAAGCUUGGGGCUCAACUCCAAAAGUGCAUUGGAAACUGCUUUACUUGAAUCCUGGAGAGGUUGGCGGAAUUCCUGGUGUAGAGGUGAAAUUCGUAGAUAUCAGGAGGAACACCGGUGGCGAAGGCGGCCAACUGGACAGUGAUUGACGCUGAGGCACGAAAGCGUGGGGAGCAAACAGG